AAGGGCACCACAAGAACGCGUGGAGCAUGUGGCUUAAUUUGACUCAACGCGGGAAAUCUUACCGGGUCCGGACACACUGAGGAUUGACAGGCAAUAUUAUAAUUUUUUAAUUGGAAUAAAUUUUUAUUAAUUUAUUUUUUUUAUUUUUUAUAUGUUAAAUAUGCUAGUCCUUUCAUGAUUAUGUGAUAGGUGGUGCAUGGCCGUUCUUAGUUCGUGGAGUGAUCUGUCUGCUUAAUUGCGUUUCACUAUUGGGCUUAUAUAAUUACGUAUGUUGUUAACGCUUUGACCCCUUUCUACGGAUUGUGCGUGUCUUUGUCUCGUUUAACUCAUACAAUUAAGCCCUGAAAGCAACGAACGUGACCGCAACCUCUUGUUGCUCUCAUAUUACCUUAUACUGCAUAAUAUUUGAAUAAUUUAUUUUAUUUUUUUUUAUGUUUAAGAGAGCUUUCUAAACUAGAGGGACCGCUGUUACUUUCUUAAACCAGAGGAAGGUUGCGGCAAUAACAGGUCUGUGAUGCCCUUAGAUGUUCCGGGCUGCACACGUGCUACAAUGAUUAUUGCAGUGAGCAUCUCAUUUUUUACACAUCGCAUGCGCGAGUCCAUUUAUUCAGAUAUCUUUCAUUUACUUUCGGGUGAAUGUAGUGUUUGCUUUAAAUGUGUAUCUCUGCGCGCGAUAAAGCCUGCUUCGAAAGUAAGUGGGUAAUCAAUUAGAAGUAAUGAUUUCCUUUUUUUUUCUGCACACAUAUAUAUGGCACUUAUACCCGGGUAACCUUGUUGUUACUUUUGUGCGUAUACGUGAUAAUCUUUACCGAUUAUACUACCAUAUGUGCAAUUGUCAAUUCAUGGUGGGGACAGACCAUUGUUAAUUGUUGGUCUCGGUCUUAACUAGGAAUGCCUUGUACGGAUCUUUGGUUCAACAAACCAUCCGGAAUACGUCCCUGCCCUUUGUACACACCGCCCGUCGCUCUUACCGAUGGACUUCUCUGUGAGUUUGAGGGACUGGUAAAUUAAAUAAUAUCAUGUAUUUAUACGUGUUUUAUUUGUCACUAUAGAAACUUAAACGAACAGUGGGGUCUAAAGGAAAGAGAAGUCGUAACAAGGCAUCAGUAGGUGAACCUGCAGAAGGAUCA
RNAcentral lists this ribosomal RNA (1130 nucleotides) under Cassidulinoides porrectus. Its description in RNAcentral is "SSU rRNA". It matches the Rfam family "Eukaryotic small subunit ribosomal RNA", at positions 1160 to 1828 of the family's 1831-position model. Lineage: Eukaryota; Foraminifera; Rotaliida; Cassidulinidae. The record is from RNAcentral.